This 475-nucleotide ribosomal RNA is filed under the name uncultured Alphaproteobacteria bacterium. RNAcentral's name for it is "bacterial SSU rRNA". It matches the Rfam family "Bacterial small subunit ribosomal RNA", at positions 9 to 524 of the family's 1533-position model. Lineage: Bacteria; Pseudomonadati; Pseudomonadota; Alphaproteobacteria. The record is from RNAcentral.
GAGUUUGAUCGUGGCUCAGAAUAGAACGCUGGCGGCAUGCCUAACACAUGCAAGUCGAACCGAGACCUUCGGGUCUAGUGGCGCACGGGUAGCGUAACGCGUGGGAAUCUGCCCUUGGGUUCGGAAUAACUCGCCGAAAGGCGUGCUAAUACCGGAUGAUGUCGUAAGACCAAAGAUUUAUCGCCCAGGGAUGAGCCCGCGUAGGAUUAGCUAGUUGGUGUGGUAAAAGGCGCACCAAGGCGACGAUCCUUAGCUGGUCUGAGAGGAUGAUCAGCCACACUGGGACUGAGACACGGCCCAGACUCCUACGGGAGGCAGCAGUGGGGAAUAUUGGACAAUGGGCGAAAGCCUGAUCCAGCAAUGCCGCGUGAGUGAUGAAGGCCUUAGGGUUGUAAAGCUCUUUUUACCCGGGAUGAUAAUGACAGUACCGGGAGAAUAAAGCUCCGGCUAACUCCGUGCCAGCCGCCGCGGUAAC